Molecule: ribosomal RNA, 232 nt
Filed under: uncultured bacterium
Lineage: Bacteria
Description: partial 16S ribosomal RNA
Rfam family: Bacterial small subunit ribosomal RNA
Source: RNAcentral
UGAGUAACCUGCCCUCCACUCUGGGAUAAGCCCGGGAAACUGGGUCUAAUACCGGAUAUGACCUCCUGUCUCAUGGCGGGUGGUGGAAAGUUUUUUCGGUGGGGGAUGGACUCGCGGCCUAUCAGCUUGUUGGUGAGGUAAUGGCUUACCAAGGCGACGGCGGGUAGCCGGCCUGAGAGGGCGACCGGCCACACUGGGACUGAGACACGGCCCAGACUCCUACGGGAGGCAG